RNAcentral lists this ribosomal RNA (253 nucleotides) under uncultured bacterium. RNAcentral describes it as "partial 16S ribosomal RNA". It matches the Rfam family "Bacterial small subunit ribosomal RNA", at positions 524 to 776 of the family's 1533-position model. The record is from RNAcentral.
UACAGAGGUCUCAAGCGUUGUUCGGAUUCAUUGGGCGUAAAGGGUGUGUAGGUGGCACGCUAAGUCGGGUGUGAAAUUUCGGAGCUUAACUCCGAAACUGCAUUCGAUACUGGCGUGCUUGAGGACUGGAGAGGAGACUGGAAUUCAUGGUGUAGCAGUGAAAUGCGUAGAGAUCAUGAGGAAGACCAGUGGCGAAGGCGGGUCUCUGGACAGUUCCUGACACUGAGACACGAAGGCCAGGGGAGCAAACGGG